UGCUAGGAAUGAGAAGUUGUCAGCGUGACACAGACUCAUCACAAUUGUAUGCAUCAAAGGGCACUUGGAUUACUCAGUAAGCUCUAGGUUUUACACAAGCACAUUUAGUAAAUACAAUGAUGUAUGUGAGUGCAAGAAACGACAACAUUGCAUGGAGAUUGAUUUACCUAUGCUGGUUGCAGUCAAAUCUCUGCGCGGAGGUUUAUCGCAGCAUGGGUGCAAAAAUGUACCAUGUGCCUAUAACCUACAAAGUAAACAUGCAUGUCAGACGCGAAGCUGUGCAUAGGCAGUGUAGGCACUAGUCUGAACAUCAUUAUGAAAAAUAGAAAAAUAUUAAGACAUUCAUUCGCUCUACCAUGGGCGAGAAUCGCCUUACAGCGUUUACAGUGCUCUACAUUCACCGGGGAAGGUGUAUUGGACAUUGCAAAAGUGAUCAACACGUGAACGUUUGGGCGGGCGUUUAUUAUAUAAAGGGGCUAAGAAGAUGCAAAAAGCUUUUCCCAGGCAAAAAGACAACAGUUCCAGUACCUGUGAGAGCUAGACAAGGACUUAGUAGUAGUGAUGUCAAACCUUCCUCAGUAACAGACAGCCUAGGCCAUUCGAUAGCACUUCAUGAAGAUAUGCAGUCAAUUCAUAG
This is a long non-coding RNA of Dreissena polymorpha, 637 nucleotides long. RefSeq lists it as uncharacterized. The record is from RefSeq and is a predicted model, not a curated record. Lineage: Eukaryota; Metazoa; Mollusca; Bivalvia; Myida; Dreissenidae. The transcript has 3 exons.